UACGAAGGGUGCAAACGUUGCUCGGAAUUAUUGGGCGUAAAGCGCACGUAGGCGGCAUUGCAAGUCGGAUGUGAAAUCUUAUGGCUUAACCAUAAAAGUGCAUCCGAAACUGCAGUGCUUGAGUACUUAAGAGGAUCGCGGAAUUCCUGGUGUAGCGGUGAAAUGCGCAGAUAUCAGGAGGAACACCGGUGGCGAAGGCGGGUCUCUGGGCCGAUACUGACGCUGAGGAGCGAAAGCGUGGGGAGCGAACAGG
This 253-nucleotide ribosomal RNA is filed under the name uncultured bacterium. RNAcentral describes it as "partial 16S ribosomal RNA". It matches the Rfam family "Bacterial small subunit ribosomal RNA", at positions 524 to 776 of the family's 1533-position model. The record is from RNAcentral.